Peromyscus maniculatus bairdii (prairie deer mouse) is the source of this 630-nucleotide non-coding RNA. NCBI's taxonomy places the organism in Eukaryota, Metazoa, Chordata, Mammalia, Rodentia, Cricetidae. The record is from RefSeq and is a predicted model, not a curated record.
AGGUUUCUGCAAUGACCAAGAACAUUGCACAAAGGAACUUCUUUGAUGGGGGCUGACAGCUGCUCUCAUCUGCAGGUGGAGAGAUACAAAUUUAGAGGGCAGUUUGUUACUGUGUCCACUUUACCAAAUAACAGCAGUGGAGUCAUCUCUGAGGCAUGUGAACAGUCCAAGCAAAGGUUCUUGGCCUGAUUCGAAGUACCAGGUAUCUUGGCCUGAUUCGAAGUACCAGGAUCUUGAUGCAGAUGUGGAAGCUGACCUGAAGCUGUGUCUGCUGUGUGGGGCUGGGCGGCUCAAUGGCCAUCUCAAUCAUGGUUCAUCCCUUCAGAGAUAACUUCUCAAAACUGAGGCAGGUUAUAGAGAGGAACCAAGAGAUGGAGGACUCUCUUUUCCAUUUGCUUCCUGUUUUAAUACACACACACAGAGAUCUGUUAGUGUAGUGAGCUUGGUCUCUUCUUCCCCACUCAUUUGAAUUUAAACCGUGGAAAGAAAUGACUUGGUGUCAGGGUUCAGCUUCUCCAUUGGACACAUGGAAUCAUCCUCUUCCCCUCUUAUCACUAUGUGCCAGAGCAAGUGACCAGUCUUGGAUAACAGGUGUUCAUUUUGUAGAUUCAACAUUUUUCUUCCAUGUAU